UACGGAGGGGGCUAGCGUUGUUCGGAAUUACUGGGCGUAAAGCGCGCGUAGGCGGACCUGCAAGUCGGGGGUGAAAGCCCGAGGCUCAACCUCGGAACUGCCUUCGAUACUGCGGGUCUCGAGUCCGGGAGAGGUGAGUGGAAUUCCUAGUGUAGAGGUGAAAUUCGUAGAUAUUAGGAAGAACACCAGUGGCGAAGGCGGCUCACUGGCCCGGUACUGACGCUGAGGCGCGAAAGUGUGGGGAGCGAACCGG
This 253-nucleotide ribosomal RNA is filed under the name uncultured bacterium. RNAcentral's name for it is "partial 16S ribosomal RNA". It matches the Rfam family "Bacterial small subunit ribosomal RNA", at positions 524 to 776 of the family's 1533-position model. The record is from RNAcentral.